Long non-coding RNA from Lucilia cuprina (Australian sheep blowfly), 541 nucleotides. RefSeq lists it as uncharacterized. The transcript is spliced from 2 exons. NCBI's taxonomy places the organism in Eukaryota, Metazoa, Arthropoda, Insecta, Diptera, Calliphoridae. The record is from RefSeq and is a predicted model, not a curated record.
UUAUAAGUAGUAUUUAAAUUUCAUAAUUUCUUUAAACAUUGCGGAUACAAGAAUUUUUAAAGGUAAUUAUCUGGCAAAAAGUAUGUUAACACUGUUGCAUAUUGUUAAAAUGUUUUGAAAAGAUUUACAUACGACAGAUAGAGAUACAAACAUGCUCACAUCAUAUACAACAUACAACUUUAUUAAAAUAUUUCUAUAAAAUAAAGCAAAAAGACACAUAUGUACAAGAAACAAGGUAAUUAUAAUGGUAUUUAGAACAGCAUGAAAAGGAAUUAUGAUUUUUUAUUCUAGAUUUUUUGUUUUAAAAAUUACAUAAAAUACUAAAAGAAGCCAUAGAAACAAAUAAUAAUACUCUGAACAAAAAAAAAAAAUAAAAUAAAUAAAUAAAAUUUCUAUAUGAUGUACUAUUAAUGAAGAAUAGAAAACAUUAGACAUUAGUUUAAGAUGAUCAUAAUAACGUAUAACAAUUAUAAUUAUUAUUUUAUGUUGACAAUUAUGUUUUCUCUAAAUUAAAUGGUAAAUAAAGAAAAACUGCAAAAAA